AAUAGAUACCCAGGUAGUCCACGCUGUAAACGUUGGACACUAGGUGUGGCGGUCUGAUCAACGACUGCCGUGCCGAAGCUAACGCAUUAAGUGUCCCGCCUGGGGAGUACGGCCGCAAGGCUAAAACUCAAAGGAAUUGACGGGUCCCCGCACAAGCGGCGGAGCAUGCGGCUUAAUUCGAUGCAACCCGAAGAACCUUACCUGGGUUUGACAUCAUGGGAAAAGCCGUAGAAACACGGUGUCCGUAAGGGCCCAUGACAGGUGGUGCAUGGCUGUCGUCAGCUCGUGUCGUGAGAUGUUGGGUUAAGUCCCGCAACGAGCGCAACCCUUGUCCUAUGUUGCCAGCGGUUCGGCCGGGGACUCAUAGGAGACUGCCGGGGAUAACUCGGAGGAAGGUGAGGACGAUGUCAAGUCAUCAUGCCCCUUAUAUCCAGGGCUGCACGCAUGCUACAAUGGUCGGUACAACGGGCAGCGAUCCUGCGAAGGUGAGCGAAUCCCACAAAGCCGGCCUCAGUUCGGAUUGG
RNAcentral lists this ribosomal RNA (524 nucleotides) under uncultured bacterium. RNAcentral describes it as "bacterial SSU rRNA". It matches the Rfam family "Bacterial small subunit ribosomal RNA", at positions 777 to 1301 of the family's 1533-position model. The record is from RNAcentral.